This 58-nucleotide microRNA precursor is filed under the name Colobus angolensis palliatus. RNAcentral's name for it is "miRNA (ENSCANG00000038229.1)". Lineage: Eukaryota; Metazoa; Chordata; Mammalia; Primates; Cercopithecidae. The record is from RNAcentral.
UGCAACAGUAAUUGUGGUUUUUGCAGUUGAAAGUAAUGGCAAAAACUGCAAUUACUUU